Molecule: ribosomal RNA, 253 nt
Filed under: uncultured bacterium
Lineage: Bacteria
Description: partial 16S ribosomal RNA
Rfam family: Bacterial small subunit ribosomal RNA
Source: RNAcentral
UACGUAGGGUGCAAGCGUUAAUCGGAAUUACUGGGCGUAAAGCGUGCGCAGGCGGUUCUAUAAGACAGAUGUGAAAUCCCCGGGCUCAACCUGGGAAUGGCAUUUGUGACUGGAAGGCUAGAGUGUGUCAGAGGGGGGUAGAAUUCCACGUGUAGCAGUGAAAUGCGUAGAGAUGUGGAGGAAUACCGAUGGCGAAGGCAGCCCCCCUGGGAUAACACUGACGCUCAUGCACGAAAGCGUGGGGACAAACAGG